AGAGUUUGAUCAUGGCUCAGAUUGAACGCUGGCGGCAUGCCUUACACAUGCAAGUCGAACGGCAGCACGGGGGCAACCCUGGUGGCGAGUGGCGAACGGGUGAGUAAUACAUCGGAACGUGUCCUGUAGUGGGGGAUAGCCCGGCGAAAGCCGGAUUAAUACCGCAUACGAUCUACGGAUGAAAGCGGGGGACCGAAAGGCCUCGCGCUAGAGGGGCGGCCGAUGGCAGAUUAGCUAGUUGGUGGGGUAAAGGCCUACCAAGGCGACGAUCUGUAGCUGGUCUGAGAGGACGACCAGCCACACUGGGACUGAGACACGGCCCAGACUCCUACGGGAGGCAGCAGUGGGGAAUUUUGGACAAUGGGGGCAACCCUGAUCCAGCAAUGCCGCGUGUGUGAAGAAGGCCUUCGGGUUGUAAAGCACUUUUGUCCGGAAAGAAAUCCUUUGGGCUAAUACCUCGGGGGGAUGACGGUACCGGAAGAAUAAGCACCGGCUAACUACGUGCCAGCAGCCGCGGUAAUACGUAGGGUGCGAGCGUUAAUCGGAAUUACUGGGCGUAAAGCGUGCGCAGGCGGUUCGCUAAGACCGAUGUGAAAUCCCCGGGCUUAACCUGGGAACUGCAUUGGUGACUGGCGGGCUAGAGUAUGGCAGAGGGGGGUAGAAUUCCACGUAGCAGUGAAAUGCGUAGAGAUGUGGAGGAAUACCGAUGGCGAAGGCAGCCCCCUGGGCCAAUACUGACGCUCAUGCACGAAAGCGUGGGGAGCAAACAGGAUUAGAUACCCCCGUAGUCC
Molecule: ribosomal RNA, 791 nt
Filed under: uncultured bacterium
Lineage: Bacteria
Description: bacterial SSU rRNA
Rfam family: Bacterial small subunit ribosomal RNA
Source: RNAcentral